GGUAAAUCUCGUGCCAGCCACCGCGGUCACACAAGAGACCCAAGCUAAUCGUUUGCGGCGUAAAGAGUGGACUCAUGCUUAUCACGCUAAUUAAGGUCAAAACGCAACUGAGCUGUCAUAAGCCUAAGAUGCAUUUAAAACCGCCCUAAAGAUGACCCUAAAUUCACAAGACUUAAUGAACUCCACGAAAGCCAGGGCACAAACUGGGAUUAGAUACCCCACUAUGCCUGGCCCUAAAUCUUGAUGCUCUAUAUAACCAAAGCAUCCGCCUGAGAACUACGAGCACAAACGCUUAAAACUCUAAGGACUUGGCGGUGCCCCAAACCCACCUAGAGGAGCCUGUUCUGUAAUCGAUACUCCACGAUACACCCGACCACUUCUUGCCAUGGACAGCCUACAUACCGCCGUCGCCAGCUCACCUCCUCUGAGAGCACUACAGUGAGCACAACCGCCCUAACCCCGCUAACAAGACAGGUCAAGGUAUAGCUUAUGAAGUGGAAGAAAUGGGCUACAUUUUCUAAUCUAGAAAAUCCCACGAAAAGGGGCAUGAAAUAGCCCCUAGAAGGCGGAUUUAGCAGUAAAGAGGGAUAAUAUAAGCCCCCUUUAAGCUGGCUCUGGGGCACGUACAUACCGCCCGUCACCCUCCUCAUAAGCUCUAAACUACCAAUAAAUAAUACUCCUACCUGCUAAAGAUGAGGUAAGUCGUAACAAGGUAAGCAUACUGGA
This 726-nucleotide ribosomal RNA is filed under the name Columba livia (rock pigeon). RNAcentral's name for it is "partial 12S ribosomal RNA". It matches the Rfam family "Bacterial small subunit ribosomal RNA", at positions 495 to 1509 of the family's 1533-position model. Lineage: Eukaryota; Metazoa; Chordata; Aves; Columbiformes; Columbidae. The record is from RNAcentral.